AUUGAACGCUGGCGGAAUGCUUUACACAUGCAAGUCGAACGGUAGAGGGGGCAACCCCUUGAGAGUGGCGAACGGGUGAGUAAUAUAUCGGAACGUGCCCAGUCGUGGGGAUAACGUAGCGAAAGUUACGCUAAUACCGCAUACGAUCUAAGGAUGAAAGCGGGGGACUCGCAAGAGCCUCGCGCGAUUGGAGCGGCCGAUAUCAGAUUAGGUAGUUGGUGGGGUAAAGGCUCACCAAGCCGACGAUCUGUAGCUGGUCUGAGAGGACGACCAGCCACACUGGGACUGAGACACGGCCCAGACUCCUACGGGAGGCAGCAGUGGGGAAUUUUGGACAAUGGGCGCAAGCCUGAUCCAGCAAUGCCGCGUGCAGGAUGAAGGCCUCGUUGGUUAACGUAGUACGUUUGUUACGUUA
This 415-nucleotide ribosomal RNA is filed under the name uncultured bacterium. RNAcentral's name for it is "bacterial SSU rRNA". It matches the Rfam family "Bacterial small subunit ribosomal RNA", at positions 30 to 450 of the family's 1533-position model. The record is from RNAcentral.